GUCUGACGUGCAGGAUAUUAUGAACGAGGGUAUGGCGUCGUCGAGGAGGAGGAGAAGGUGGUGGAGUAGUAACCGGGGGUGCCUCCAGAGGGCUGGCGGGGACCGGGGACCGGCGGUUGGGCGAAGGGGUGACGGUGGUGCGGCGGUACCCAGGCAAAACUACCCGCCUCGGCUCACUCUUCUGCCUCCAGAACCACCCACCAGCCCAUUCGUCUAGCUUAAACUAUAUUCCGACCUAACCUCCGCGCGUAGGGUACCUUCCUUCUCCGCCAACCCUACCUACCAUCUGACAGCCAGGCGAUACUUGCUCGAAGGCGAUGCGCCGCCGAUGCUUUUCGCACCCUUGUCGUUUCCUACAUUCCCUCCCUCUCCCCCAAGCCUCUCCCCUUCUCCGUUUUCUCUCGCUCGUCCUCUUUCCAUCACGCUUUCCGCUUCCUAUUCUCUAUUUUUACGCCAGGCUCAUCCGGAUGUCACGGGCGCGAGCGCGAGCUAAAAUCGGAACAGCGCAACGGAAGUGGGGAAGGUUACAGCUCGUGUUGACGUAUGUUUUGUAUUCAUUGUCCGUGUGUUAUUUUAGGUUAAAUGUCUGUUUUCCCGCGUCGAGGGUGUACCUGCAUCGUCGCCUCGCGCCUCGCUCCCUCAUGAAUCCGUUCUUUCGCGCCGCACUGUAACAUUCCUUCAAGGCUCGCCUCGGGAGUCUCAAAAUUAGAGAUAUCAGUUUGCAUAGAUGAAGAGGAAACGGUCAGAGAACCGUGUACAUUUGUGCUUUCAUUUUUAAUAAAAAUUAACUGAGAUUUUAGCUAAGAAAUAAUUGAGAAACUUGAGAAUAUUACAGAUUUUUAAUGCAUUACAAAUUGUAAACUAAAAUUGUCUUCCACGUUGAUGUAAAAAAUGAUGAAUGACAUUCUUGUUGUCUGUUAAGAUAAGAUGUAGGAAGUAAUUCUGUGUUUCGAUCUUUCGAAAUAGUCAAGCAUAUCUACAAAAUAAAUGUAUUAUCGAUAAAACUUUAGUAUAAUUCAUUGUCGACUGUGUUGGCAUUACACAGUCAAAUCUCCCGAAGAAAUAUCAAGAUAUCACAUUCUUUCUUCUUGCGAUACUUUCUUUUUAUUCGAACGGACAAAAUUAAGUUCGACAUUUCAUUUCUUCGCGUCUUCUAAGCGUUACGGUGGCGCGUAACUCGUCGAGGUUGCGGAAACUUUUUGGAUAGACGAUUCGUCGUCGCGCGAAGUGUCACACUGACGGCGGAAUAUAGCUGAAGCACGUGUACGAGUAUAUUGUGGAGGGAGGUAGGAUGGGGUAUGAGUGCAUGGUAUAUAUCUAUACAGUGUCUACAGGGGGUAGAAGUAUAAGCUUUCCUCUCGCAAAUGAGGUAAUAUAUAUACAAAAGCUAAUACGACCGAAAGUUGCCAACUUGGAUGAGUCUCUCCUCCGCAUCCCUCUACCCGCCGCUUCUCCUUCCCCGCGCGCGGACUACCUCCUCUAAAUAUUUUAAAGGAUCGUGACACUCGGGUCUAUGAGUUGCCGUCCUUGGGGAGGGACGCUUGAAACUCAAAAGGCCGUCGGAGUGAAGGACAAAAAUAUCGCGAACUGUGACAUUUGGACAGUUUCGUUUCGUAGAGUCCUUCAGAUAAACAAUUGCCGUCAGUAAGAAAAGAAAACCGGCUUUAUGCGGAUAAAUCGUGCAAGGCGCCACAAGCCAAUUGAAAUUACUGCGCCGAGAAACGCGGGAAGACAUAGUGGCUAGGUCGACGGGGGUGAGCACAGAACGGUGCAGCCAGGGCUGUACUUUUAAGCAUGGGAGUGGGGGUUCUGGAUCAAUGCCGAGACCACGCCUCCUUCGUCUUACAUCUUGCACCCUGUGUCUCCCCCCCAAACACCGUGGGCACCUUCCUUUCCUUUUGCUUUUCCACCCUCUUCCCUAUCUUCAUACCUCGCGGAAAAUCCGCCCCGGACGUGCAAAUACGUAUAUUAAAAGCAAUAAAAACUAUACUAUAUGUAUAAUACACAAAACUUUAUUGAUAUUAAUUGUACAAUAUUAUGAAACAAUUGAGAAAAAUAUAUAUUACGAAAAUAUAUAACACAUGCACAGAGAUUUUUGGAUUGAGAUAGAAGAAAACAAUAUUGUAAUCAUUACAAUGUAUAGUGUGCGUAAAAAAAUAUAUUUUUGUAAAAACA
This 2175-nucleotide long non-coding RNA is filed under the name Monomorium pharaonis (pharaoh ant). RNAcentral describes it as "uncharacterized LOC118646173, transcript variant X1". Lineage: Eukaryota; Metazoa; Arthropoda; Insecta; Hymenoptera; Formicidae. The record is from RNAcentral.